RNAcentral lists this ribosomal RNA (1049 nucleotides) under uncultured bacterium. RNAcentral describes it as "bacterial SSU rRNA". It matches the Rfam family "Bacterial small subunit ribosomal RNA", at positions 1 to 1039 of the family's 1533-position model. The record is from RNAcentral.
CGUCGACACAGAGUUUGAUCCUGGCUCGGAUUGAACGCUGGCGGCAUGCCUUACACAUGCAAGUCGAACGGCAGCAUGAUCUAGCUUGCUAGAUUGAUGGCGAGUGGCGAACGGGUGAGUAAUACAUCGGAACGUGCCCUGUAGUGGGGGAUAACUAGUCGAAAGAUUAGCUAAUACCGCAUACGACCUGAGGGUGAAAGUGGGGGACCGCAAGGCCUCAUGCUAUAGGAGCGGCCGAUGUCUGAUUAGCCAGUUGGUGAGGUAAAGGCUCACCAAGGCGACGAUCAGUAGCUGGUCUGAGAGGACGAUCAGCCACACUGGGACUGAGACACGGCCCAGACUCCUACGGGAAGCAGCAGUGGGGAAUUUUGGACAAUGGGCGAAAGCCUGAUCCAGCAAUGCCGCGUGUGUGAAGAAGGCCUUCGGGUUGUAAAGCACUUUUGUCCGGAAAGAAAUGGCUCUGGUUAAUACCUGGGGUCGAUGACGGUACCGGAAGAAUAAGGACCGGCUAACUACGUGCCAGCAGCCGCGGUAAUACGUAGGGUCCAAGCGUUAAUCGGAAUUACUGGGCGUAAAGCGUGCGCAGGCGGUUGUGCAAGACCGAUGUGAAAUCCCCGAGCUUAACUUGGGAAUUGCAUUGGUGACUGCACGGCUAGAGUGUGUCAGAGGGGGGUAGAAUUCCACGUGUAGCAGUGAAAUGCGUAGGGAUGUGGAGGAAUACCGAUGGCGAAGGCAGCCCCCUGGGAUAACACUGACGCUCAUGCACGAAAGCGUGGGGAGCAAACAGGAUUAGAUACCCUGGUAGUCCACGCCCUAAACGAUGUCAACUAGUUGUUGGGGAUUCAUUUCCUUAGUAACGUAGCUAACGCGUGAAGUUGACCGCCUGGGGAGUACGGUCGCAAGAUUAAAACUCAAAGGAAUUGACGGGGACCCGCACAAGCGGUUGGAUGGAUGUGGAUUAAUUCGAUGCAACGCGAAAAAACCUUACCCUACCCUUUGACAUGCCCACUAAACGAAAGCAGAAAAUGCAAUUAGGGUGGCUCAAAAAA